ACUCCUACGGGAGGCAGCAGUGAGGAAUAUUGGUCAAUGGACGAGAGUCUGAACCAGCCAAGUCGCGUGAAGGAAGACGGCCCUACGGGUUGUAAACUUCUUUUGUAAGGGAAUAAAUAGUCUUACGCGCUAAGACGUUGCAGGUACCUUACGAAU
RNAcentral lists this ribosomal RNA (156 nucleotides) under uncultured bacterium. Its description in RNAcentral is "partial 16S ribosomal RNA". It matches the Rfam family "Bacterial small subunit ribosomal RNA", at positions 335 to 487 of the family's 1533-position model. The record is from RNAcentral.